CCUACGGGUGGCAGCAGUGGGGAAUAUUGGACAAUGGGGGGAACCCUGAUCCAGCCAUGCCGCGUGUGUGAAGAAGGCCCUCGGGUUGUAAAGCACUUUCAGUGAGGAAGAACGCCUGGUGGUUAAUACCCAUCAGGAAAGACAUCACUCACAGAAGAAGCACCGGCUAACUCCGUGCCAGCAGCCGCGGUAAUACGGAGGGUGCGAGCGUUAAUCGGAAUUACUGGGCGUAAAGCGCGCGUAGGUGGCUUGAUAAGCCGGUUGUGAAAGCCCCGGGCUCAACCUGGGAACGGCAUCCGGAACUGUCAAGCUAGAGUGCAGGAGAUGAAGGUAGAAUUCCCGGUGUAGCGGUGAAAUGCGUAGAGAUCGGGAGGAAUACCAGUGGCGAAGGCGGCCUUCUGGACUGACACUGACACUGAGGUGCGAAAGCGUGGGUAGCAAACAGGAUUAGAUACCCCAGUAGUC
This 465-nucleotide ribosomal RNA is filed under the name Vreelandella stevensii. RNAcentral describes it as "partial 16S ribosomal RNA". It matches the Rfam family "Bacterial small subunit ribosomal RNA", at positions 338 to 795 of the family's 1533-position model. The record is from RNAcentral. Lineage: Bacteria; Pseudomonadati; Pseudomonadota; Gammaproteobacteria; Oceanospirillales; Halomonadaceae.